UAUAGGCUUUAGGUAUAUUGCCUCUGUCCAAGUGAUAUAGGUGGGCACAUGAGAUCAACAUACCAGCAUGUUAGUAUUAGGUUCUGAUAGAAACUUAGUGCAAUUAUGUUGCCAUUCUUGACUAAUAGGACAUGACUGGUGUGCAGACACU
This 151-nucleotide small nucleolar RNA is filed under the name Sorex araneus (European shrew). Its description in RNAcentral is "Small nucleolar RNA SNORA53 (ENSSARG00000018813.1)". The stretch from base 29 to 151 matches the Rfam family "Small nucleolar RNA SNORA53". Rfam says of the family: The snoRNA ACA53 belongs to the H/ACA family of pseudouridylation guide snoRNAs. The record is from RNAcentral. Lineage: Eukaryota; Metazoa; Chordata; Mammalia; Eulipotyphla; Soricidae.